This is a long non-coding RNA of Chroicocephalus ridibundus (black-headed gull), 1418 nucleotides long. RefSeq lists it as uncharacterized. The transcript is spliced from 3 exons. Lineage: Eukaryota; Metazoa; Chordata; Aves; Charadriiformes; Laridae. The record is from RefSeq and is a predicted model, not a curated record.
CCCAUUGCUGCUGCUGCUGCUGCUGCUCUCUAAAUACCUGCGGGGUCCUCAGUCCAGGGAAACGCCAGCCUGGCCCCUGGAAAUUGAGGGGAAAAGGAAUAAAACUGGGUAAGAGCAGCUGAGCCUGUGCUGGCCUGUCCCUAGGGGACCCUCCCUAUGUGUUCAACGGCAGCAGCGGGCUGGAUCCCAGCCUCCCGGUGCCGAAUCUUUCGGGAUGGCUUCAGGAAUCAGCGUGUGGAGUGAUAAGCUACCCUGGCUCGAGAUGCUCAUUUCCAAAGAUUACCCAAAAACCUCGUCCUGGAAGAAGCCGUCUCCUUUGAAGCACCACCAUCCCAUGCCGGCUCGCGGGUAUCUCCAUUGCUGGAAGCAGGGCGAUGUGACCUGUGCGGAGAGGGGAUGCUGCCGUUCUGGUCGGCCCAUCCCUGGCCACCGCGGCUUCGCCGUCAUGCUCGGAGCAGGGAAAAGUGCUGGCCGCAAUACCAGCGGAUGCCCAAAAUCCUCCUGCCAGCUUUCUCAGGAAGGUUAGAGGUUGUUCGCGGAGACGAUGUGGGAAAGAUGAAAAUCCCCCCUCCCCUGGCGGUGACCCUCCCCUGGGGAAGCGGCACUCGCUGGGAGCUGACUCCUCUCGUUUUCUGGAAAGCAGCGCUUUGAGCAAACUAUUUAUAAACUGAGUUUUCUUUAACUCCUGAAAUUGAGCCAUAACUUCAGACAAACAGGAAAAAAAAAAAAAAAAAAGAGAUGCAGGCAAAUAAAUGCAGGCAAAAAUAAAUAUACAGGCAGCCUAAAUUUGCAAAGCAACUAGUAAUUCUGGGAAGAGCUGGGAUUUGGAGACUUCUACAAUGGGGCUGGUAAAGAGUCUUCUCAAAAGGCUUCCAGUGGCCCAGGGGGCUGAGGACGAGCAGUGGCACUACCUGUGGGAUGGGGCCGGUGGGAUUUUGCCCGGCUGCCCAGCGCUGUGACUGCUCCCCGACUGAAAUCCUGCUGAUAUUUAAGCCUCGCAUCGCCUCUGCCCACCGGUAAUGACCGCGCUGGGAAAUGCCAGGCAGCGUGACCUUUCUCAGCGCGUCCUGCACGGCUCCUGCCCAGGUUCGUGCAGGGGAUUUAUGGCCCCUUACCACCCAUGUUUUUACAGGCUCAUUUAUCGCCACGGCCUCAAAUGCCAGCGGGGUCGGGCGAUGCCGCCCAGCCCACGCCAUGGGCACGGUCAGGAUGGUGCGGGCUGCCCCGUGAUGCUCCUGCAUCCCAUGGUGCCCCAGCAUCCAUAUGGCACCAGGGGCUUGUUUCAGGCUGCUGGAUGGGCAGCACCUCCCUUUCCUAUCAGACCACCUCUUUUAUUUUAAGCCUUUCUUCCAGCUCAUGCUGCCAUGGGACUCGCUGGCACGUGCCCACCCACGGCAUCCCCGCUUCUCCCUCCCACC